CCCAGGAGCUGAUGGGGGCGGACCUCUCCCUCUGUGCUUCAGAGCCAGGCCUGGGCCCAGGCCUGUGGGGCUCUGAAGAGUCUUCUGGAAGUCCCCCUGGUACUGGAACACUUACCAAGGGGCGAAGGCUGCAUGAUGGGGCCGGAAAAGCCCGAAAAUGCUGAGGAUCGCCUGGAGGGGCCCACUGCUGGCCCUGAAGACUCUGGAGGAGGCAUCCAUCUUGGGAGGUGGGAGGCUCGGCUGGAGGCCCCCUGAAGUCAUCCAGGUUGAUUGUUAGCCCAAAGUCUUGGCAGGCCUUGCUAAAACAGUCCAUAAGUUGUUGAAGGUCUUUGGCAGCAUGAGCAGUAAUGGCAGCAUUGUCAGCGAAGAGGAAAUCUCGUAAGCAUUUCAGCUGGACUUUAGACUUUGCUCUCAAUCUACAUUGAUUAAAGAGUUUUUCUUCUGAUCUAGUCUGGAGAUAGAUACCAUCUGUUGCAGUUCCAAAAGCAUGUUUCAGCAUGACAGCAAAAAAGAUCCCAAAUAAAGUUGGCACAAGGACACAGCCCUGCUUCACUCAACUUCAAAUGUCAAAGGAAUCUGACAUUCAAAACUACAGUGCCUUUCACUACCAUCAAAAACUACAGUGCCUUUCAUUUCCUCAUGAAAGGACCUAAUGAUGUUAAGAAGCUGAGGUGGACAUCCAAUCUUGGAGAGAAUUUUAUAAAAGCCAUCUCUACUAACAAAGUCAAAAGCCUUCAUAAAUCAUAACAACAUUCCGUAUUCAAGGACUUUUGCCUGCGUCUGAUAGAGACUGCCUGAAGAUUGUAUCUGGUGGAGUGUGAAGAGUUGAUUGGACAAUGUGAUGACCUUGUGGGUGUCGGGCAGGGCUGUGAACUCUUAGCUGGGUGGGGAAAACCUGAAAGCUUUCAGAUUCGGGUUUCCCAGAUGUGCCAAGAUGACAUCGCUAAUAAAUUGGAACUUCGAGGAA
Molecule: long non-coding RNA, 967 nt
Organism: Pantherophis guttatus
Lineage: Eukaryota; Metazoa; Chordata; Lepidosauria; Squamata; Colubridae
Source: RefSeq, a predicted model, not a curated record